UACAGAGGUCUCAAGCGUUGUUCGGAAUCACUGGGCGUAAAGGGUGCGUAGGCGGAACGCCAAGUCAGAAUGUGGAAAGACCGGGGCUCAACCCCGGAACGGCAUCCGAUACUGGCGAUCUAGAGGGCUCGAGGGGAGUGUGGAAUUCACGGUGUAGCAGUGAAAUGCGUAGAUAUCGUGAGGAACACCAGUGGCGAAGGCGACACUCUGGAGAGCAACUGACGCUGAGGCACGAAGGCCAGGGGAGCGAACGGG
RNAcentral lists this ribosomal RNA (255 nucleotides) under uncultured bacterium. RNAcentral's name for it is "partial 16S ribosomal RNA". It matches the Rfam family "Bacterial small subunit ribosomal RNA", at positions 524 to 776 of the family's 1533-position model. The record is from RNAcentral.